CUUUAAAGUCUGUAUCUUAUUUAUUUAUUUAUUUAAAUCCCUAGUGCCUAACCCAUGGAAAGUGUGCUUGACAAAUCUUCGCUAUCGAGUGAACACCGGAAAAAGACACCUGUUCCAGUUACUUUGGCCUAGGAGACUCCAAUGAAAGAAUCUUUCUUCCUGAAAAGGACUUGUGUUCAAUUGGCUGUGAACAAGAAUCAGUGAGGCUGACUAUAACACUUGUUCCUCAGAGACCGGAUUUCUAUCUUCAUGCCAGCCUUUAUCUGAUCAUGGUGCCUAAAAGAGUUCCAUUCCGUCAACUGCAUACCUGUACUUAAAUGAAAAGGGAUUUAUUGUUUUUAAUUGCUCAAUACAAACAGGAUUUAAUUGUUCCUCUGACUACUAGCAUGUAAAGAAAGGCUA
RNAcentral lists this long non-coding RNA (402 nucleotides) under Equus asinus (donkey). RNAcentral describes it as "lncRNA (ENSEASG00005032014.1)". The record is from RNAcentral. Lineage: Eukaryota; Metazoa; Chordata; Mammalia; Perissodactyla; Equidae.